UCUCCGUUGGUGAACCAGCGGAGGGAUCAUUACAGGACUCGCAAGACUCCUUCACCCUGUGAACCUCACUACAAGCACGUUGCUUCGGCGGGUGUCCCGGCGGGGGUUUUCCCUCGCCGGGGCGCACAGCCCGCCGGCAGCCUACUAUACUCUGUCUCUUUGCGUUGGCAUCUCGAGAAAAAACAAACAAGUUGAAACUUUCAACAACGGAUCUCUUGGUUCUG
Molecule: unclassified non-coding RNA, 224 nt
Filed under: plant metagenome
Description: partial contains small subunit ribosomal RNA, internal transcribed spacer 1, and 5.8S ribosomal RNA
Source: RNAcentral